This 558-nucleotide long non-coding RNA is filed under the name Ananas comosus (pineapple). Its description in RNAcentral is "long non-coding RNA (ACOM_LNC016563)". Lineage: Eukaryota; Viridiplantae; Streptophyta; Magnoliopsida; Poales; Bromeliaceae. The record is from RNAcentral.
GGAUGGAAUUUGAUAUUUGAAUGAUGUUAUAUAUUCUAAAAUUGUACUGUUCUAUAUGAAUUUGUGUCAGGUUAUUGAUAGAGUUUUAGCCACCGUUUGGUUGGGGGUUAAGGGGUGGAAUAACCUCUUAACCUUUAAUUUAUACCCAAACACCACUCUUAAGGGGUGGGAUUAGUAAACCCCACCCCAAACCGGGUUAGUGAGGUUUACUAACCCCACUCUCCCUCCCAACUUUAACCCCGCACGUAUUCCGAGCUCUCAUCUUUUUCUUCUUUAUCAAUCAUUAACCCCACUCCCCCUCCCAACUUUAACCCCGCACGCAUCCCGAGCCCUCACCUUUUUCUUCUUUAUCAAUCAUUAUCUUUUUAUCCCACCUACUCCAACCAAACACUUUUUUUCACUAUCCUAGACUAACUCCAACCUCCAACCAAGCACAAAAAAACUUUAAUCCCAUUUUAACCUUGAACUUAACCCUAUCCCUGGUAUAGCUACUUUUUCCUUAACCCCGAACCAAACGGAGGCUUAGAAUCUUGUCUUCCUGAUUUUAAUGUAAUAUAG